GCCGCAAUAGCUCAGCUGGGAGAGCGUUAGACUGAAGAUCUAAAGGUCGUGUGUUCAAUCCACACUUGUGGCA
Phycomyces blakesleeanus NRRL 1555(-) is the source of this 73-nucleotide transfer RNA. It matches the Rfam family "tRNA". From Rfam's summary of the family: Transfer RNA (tRNA) molecules are approximately 80 nucleotides in length. Their secondary structure includes four short double-helical elements and three loops (D, anti-codon, and T loops). NCBI's taxonomy places the organism in Eukaryota, Fungi, Mucoromycota, Mucoromycetes, Mucorales, Phycomycetaceae. The record is from Rfam.